GGCCUUAUAUUCAAAUAAUGAUUUUAGACUGCAAAUCUGAAGGUGAAGUUGCAAACUUCUAAGGCUU
Molecule: transfer RNA, 67 nt
Filed under: Smaragdina concolor
Lineage: Eukaryota; Metazoa; Arthropoda; Insecta; Coleoptera; Chrysomelidae
Description: tRNA-Cys
Rfam family: tRNA
About the family: Transfer RNA (tRNA) molecules are approximately 80 nucleotides in length.
Source: RNAcentral